GGAAAACACAAUUUAAAUUAGAAUCGUCAAGCUAUUUGUAUAAAAUGCUUAACUUUAUAUUUUACAGCUUACAAGUUAACAAAUUAAAAAUAUUCAGGUGGAAGCUACUUCACUAUAUCCUUCCUUGUAAACAGCUAUUGUACAUCUGGCAACUGAAAAGCGAUGACCAAUGCCAUAUUUGCAACCAAUUAGAAAACUAUGAACACUUUUUCAUCACAUGCCAAUACUUUCAAAUUUUUUGGAAAAAGGUCAAAUUACUACUUGACAAAAUAAAAAUGGGGACACAUAUAAUCUCUUUCAAAAAUCUAAUACUUGGGUAUAAAAUAUAUGAUAAAAACUACUAUGAC
RNAcentral lists this long non-coding RNA (347 nucleotides) under Mytilus galloprovincialis (Mediterranean mussel). Lineage: Eukaryota; Metazoa; Mollusca; Bivalvia; Mytilida; Mytilidae. The record is from RNAcentral.